This 1236-nucleotide ribosomal RNA is filed under the name uncultured Halomonas sp. Its description in RNAcentral is "bacterial SSU rRNA". It matches the Rfam family "Bacterial small subunit ribosomal RNA", at positions 199 to 1424 of the family's 1533-position model. The record is from RNAcentral. Lineage: Bacteria; Pseudomonadati; Pseudomonadota; Gammaproteobacteria; Oceanospirillales; Halomonadaceae.
GGGAUCUUCGGACCUUGCGCUAUCGGAUGAGCCUAUGUCGGAUUAGCUAGUUGGUGAGGUAACGGCUCACCAAGGCUGCGAUCCGUAGCUGGUCUGAGAGGAUGAUCAGCCACAUCGGGACUGAGACAGGCCCCAAACUAAUACGGGAGGCAGCAGUGGGGAAUAUUGGACAAUGGGCGAAAGCCUGAUCCAGCCAUGCCGCGUGUGUGAAGAAGGCCUUCGGGUUGUAAAGCACUUUCAGUGAGGAAGAAAGCCUUGAGGUUAAUACCCUCGAGGGAGGACAUCACUCACAGAAGAAGCACCGGCUAACUCCGUGCCAGCAGCCGCGGUAAUACGGAGGGUGCGAGCGUUAAUCGGAAUUACUGGGCGUAAAGCGCGCGUAGGCGGCUUGAUAAGCCGGUUGUGAAAGCCCCGGGCUCAACCUGGGAACGGCAUCCGGAACUGUCAGGCUAGAGUGCAGGAGAGGAAGGUAGAAUUCCCGGUGUAGCGGUGAAAUGCGUAGAGAUCGGGAGGAAUACCAGUGGCGAAGGCGGCCUUCUGGACUGACACUGACGCUGAGGUGCGAAAGCGUGGGGUAGCAAACAGGAUUAGAUACCCUGGUAGUCCACGCCGUAAACGAUGUCGACUAGCCGUUGGGCUCCUUGAGAGCUUUGUGGCGCAGUUAACGCGAUAAGUCGACCGCCUGGGGAGUACGGCCGCAAGGUUAAAAACUCAAAUGAAUUGGAACGGGGGCCCGCACAAGCGGUGGAGCAUGUGGUUUAAUUCGAUGCAACGCGAAGAACCUUACCUACCCUUGACAUCGAGAGAACUUUCCAGAGAUGGAUUGGUGCCUUCGGGAGCUCUCAGACAGGUGCUGCAUGGCUGUCGUCAGCUCGUGUUGUGAAAUGUUGGGUUAAGUCCCGUAACGAGCGCAACCCUUGUCCCUAUUUGCCAGCGAUUCGGUCGGGAACUCUAGGGAGACUGCCGGUGACAAACCGGAGGAAGGUGGGGACGACGUCAAGUCAUCAUGGCCCUUACGGGUAGGGCUACACACGUGCUACAAUGGCCGGUACAAUGGGUUGCGAAUCCGCGAGGUGGAGCUAAUCCCAUAAAGCCGGUCUCAGUCCGGAUCGGAGUCUGCAACUCGACUCCGUGAAGUCGGAAUCGCUAGUAAUCGUGAAUCAGAAUGUCACGGUGAAUACGUUCCCGGGCCUUGUACACACCGCCCGUCACACCAUGGGAGUGGACUGCACCAGA